This 793-nucleotide ribosomal RNA is filed under the name uncultured bacterium. RNAcentral's name for it is "bacterial SSU rRNA". It matches the Rfam family "Bacterial small subunit ribosomal RNA", at positions 8 to 796 of the family's 1533-position model. The record is from RNAcentral.
AGAGUUUGAUCAUGGCUCAGGAUGAACGCUAGCGGCAGGCUUAAUACAUGCAAGUCGAGGGGCAACAGGGGUAGCAAUACCUGCUGGCGACCGGCAAACGGGUGCGGAACACGUACAGAACCUUCCUUUAAGCGGGGGAUAGCCUUCGGAAACGGAGAUUAAUACCCCAUAGUAAUGUUGUUUGGCAUCAAAUAAUAUUUAAAGAUUUAUCACUUAAAGAUGGCUGUGCGUAUGAUUAGGUAGUUGGUUGAGGUAACGGCUCACCAAGCCUGCGAUCAUUAACUGGUGUGAGAGCACGACCAGUCACACGGGCACUGAGACACGGGCCCGACUCCUACGGGAGGCAGCAGUAAGGAAUAUUGGUCAAUGGACGCAAGUCUGAACCAGCCAUGCCGCGUGAAGGAUGAAGGCCCUCUGGGUUGUAAACUUCUUUUAUGUGGGAAGAAAUGCAUUCUUUAUAGAGUGUUUGACGGUACCAUAGGAAUAAGCACCGGCUAACUCCGUGCCAGCAGCCGCGGUAAUACGGAGGGUGCAAGCGUUAUCCGGAUUCACUGGGUUUAAAGGGUGCGUAGGUGGGCUUGUAAGUCAGUGGUGAAAUCUCCGUGCUUAACAUGGAAACUGCCAUUGAUACUAUAGGUCUUGAAUUUUCCGGAGGUUAGCGGAAUAUGUCUGUAGCGGUGAAAUGCUUAGAUAUGACAUAGAACACCAAUUGCGAAGGCAGCUAACUACAGGGACAUUGACACUGAGGCACGAAAGCGUGGGGAUCAAACAGGAUUAGAUACCCUAGUAGUCC